RNAcentral lists this unclassified non-coding RNA (345 nucleotides) under soil metagenome. Its description in RNAcentral is "partial contains 5.8S ribosomal RNA, internal transcribed spacer 2, and large subunit ribosomal RNA". The stretch from base 1 to 121 matches the Rfam family "5.8S ribosomal RNA", at positions 35 to 154 of the family's 154-position model. The record is from RNAcentral.
GAUGAAGAACGCAGCGAAAUGCGAUAAGUAAUGCGAAUUGCAGAAUUUCCGUGAGUCAUCGAAUCUUUGAACGCACAUUGCGCCCACUGGUAUUUCGGUGGGCAUGCCUGUUCGAGCGUCAUUAUCCUCCCUCAAACCCCGGGUUUGGUGUUGGACCCAAGUUGUGUGAACAACUGGUCUCAAAGACAAUGACGGCGUCCGUGGGACCCUCGGUGCAACGAGCUUUUAGGAGCACGCAUCGAGUUGCAAGGACCUUCCGGGCCGGUCUCCUUUACCAUUUUACAAGGUUGACCUCGGAUCAGGUAGGAAUACCCGCUGAACUUAAGCAUAUCAAUAAGCGGAGGA